GACGAACGCUGGCGGCGCGCUUAACACAUGCAAGUCGAGCGAGAACCAGACCUUCGGGUCUGGGACGAGCGGCGAACGGGUGAGUAACACGUGGGUAAUCUGCCCUCGAUUCUGGGAUAGCCCGGGGAAACCCGGAUUAAUACCGGAUAGCCUCUUGAGCUCUCGGGCUCUCGAGAAAAGGUAGCUUCGGCCUCCGAUCGAGGAUGAGCCCGCGGUGGAUUAGCUUGUUGGUGGGGUAAUGGCCACCAAGGCGACGAUCCAUAGCUGGUCUGAGAGGACGAUCAGCCACACUGGGACUGAGACACGGCCCAGACUCCUACGGGAGGCAGCAGUGGGGAAUCUUGCGCAAUGGGCGAAAGCCUGACGCAGCGACGCCGCGUGGGGAAGAAGGCCUUAGGGUUGUAAACCUCUUUCAGCAGGGACGAAGCUCCGUCGGUGAACAGCCGGCUGGGGUGACGGUACCUUCAGAAGAAGCCCCGGCUAACUACGUGCCAGCCGCCGCUGUAAC
Molecule: ribosomal RNA, 508 nt
Filed under: uncultured bacterium
Lineage: Bacteria
Description: bacterial SSU rRNA
Rfam family: Bacterial small subunit ribosomal RNA
Source: RNAcentral